CUGCGUGCGCUGCUUCGCCGCCGCGCACCUGCACGCGCCGCCGCACCAGGCCGCGCACGCGCUGCGGGGGCUCGCCAACAUACUGCACCUGCAAAACCGGCAAGAAGACGCGAAAGAUGUGUCGUACCUGUCAUUCUACAUGACCCCAAAGAACAAGAUUGACGCGUUCCUGGUGGCAGUUGGACAUUCCUACCUGUCGGAAUUCGAUCAAGCAAUCUGGAUGUUCCGUUACGCCCUGACAUUCGACGACAAGUUUCUGCCUCCAAAGGCCUGUCUCCACGCGACCAUGUGUAUCAUGCUGUACGGGGACCCCACUAAGGACGAAAAGCAGGCCAAACCAGUAUAAACUGGUUACUACCGAAUGUAUCCAUGGCAGAACUAUACUGCAAGUUAGUAGUGAUUUAUCAUUGAUUCUAUGGGUUUGUAAUGGCUUGUUCCCACAGAGAUAUUCCGUUUUUUAGGAUCCUGUUUAG
This is a long non-coding RNA of Ostrinia nubilalis (European corn borer), 473 nucleotides long. RefSeq lists it as uncharacterized. The transcript has 3 exons. The record is from RefSeq and is a predicted model, not a curated record. Lineage: Eukaryota; Metazoa; Arthropoda; Insecta; Lepidoptera; Crambidae.